UUCCCGGCGGUCCAAUGGAUAGGACUUUGCACUUUCACUGCAGUGGCCUGGGUUCAGUCCCUGGUCAGGGAA
This 72-nucleotide transfer RNA is filed under the name Bos taurus (domestic cattle). It matches the Rfam family "tRNA". Rfam says of the family: Transfer RNA (tRNA) molecules are approximately 80 nucleotides in length. Their secondary structure includes four short double-helical elements and three loops (D, anti-codon, and T loops). RNAcentral also lists the same sequence under 2 other names. Lineage: Eukaryota; Metazoa; Chordata; Mammalia; Artiodactyla; Bovidae. The record is from Rfam by way of RNAcentral.